GAUGAAAGUCAUAUUUGGCCGUAGUACAUAGAUGGACUGUUAAUUGGUAUGAUUAUGACCAGGGAUUAUUCGGUAUAAUCAUGACCCGUAAUGUUACAAAUGAUGUGAUAAAAGUCAUCAUUGGCCCGUAGUGCAUUGAUGGACAGUUGUUGGUAUGAUCAUGACCAUUGGUGAUACUAAUGAAUAUCCUUGGCCCGUAGUGAAGGGAUGAUUCGAUGAUGUGGAUUAUUUAUUAAGCUGAGUCUCAGCGAUAAAACUGUUGAUAAACUUUUUAAAUCAAAGAAGAUAGUAGAUAUCAUGCUCUACAUGACUCUUCUAAUGGAUUGCUUGUUCUGCUGUAGUUAAACUUGAUGUUUAUUAUAUUUUAUCAGUUUAACACUAUUGAAGGCUAACGAUAAUUUAUUCUGCAUUAUCUUAGUCAUAAUAUUUCAUACUGAGCUAGUUGAGCUCACCCUUUGCUUUCAUUGUUCUCUUCAGGAAAUGAGAAUAUAGUUGGGACUAGUCGGGGAAAGAAGUGACGGUCCAGAUAGGUGGCUAUAGUAGUCCUCACUAUUAUGUGAAAUAGUGUGAUAAUAAUUAUAAUGAGGACUUUAUUUGAGGUUGUAUACUCUCUACGAGACAUUAUCCGUGUUGAAACUCUCAACUAUGUUUUGUCGUACUGUAUCAAAUAAGUUUGUAUUUAAAUUCUGUACCAUGUAUUUGGCGACUCAAGAUGGGUGAUGUAUACCUAUUUUGGGGGCGUCACAGUUGGUAUCAAAGCUUAGGGAUAUGAUCUCUGGCUGAGAUGUGAGACUAGAACUAGGAUGGGAGAG
Molecule: long non-coding RNA, 812 nt
Filed under: Panax ginseng (ginseng)
Lineage: Eukaryota; Viridiplantae; Streptophyta; Magnoliopsida; Apiales; Araliaceae
Description: long non-coding RNA (PGIN_LNC001804)
Source: RNAcentral